This 428-nucleotide ribosomal RNA is filed under the name Pseudomonas sp. Its description in RNAcentral is "partial 16S ribosomal RNA". The record is from RNAcentral. Lineage: Bacteria; Pseudomonadati; Pseudomonadota; Gammaproteobacteria; Pseudomonadales; Pseudomonadaceae.
GACUUCUUUUCGAACCUCAGUGUCAGUAUCAGUCCAGGUGGUCGCCUUCGCCACUGGUGUUCCUUCCUAUAUCUACGCAUUUCACCGCUACACAGGAAAUUCCACCACCCUCUACCGUACUCUAGUCAGGCAGUUAUGGAUGCAGUUCCCAGGUUGAGCCCGGGGAUUUCACAUCCAUCUUACCAAACCACCUACGCGCGCUUUACGCCCAGUAAUUCCGAUUAACGCUUGCACCCUUCGUAUUACCGCGGCUGCUGGCACGAAGUUAGCCGGUGCUUAUUCUGUUGGUAACGUCAAAACAGCAAGGUAUUAACUUACUGCCCUUCCUCCCAACUUAAAGUGCUUUACAAUCCGAAGACCUUCUUCACACACGCGGCAUGGCUGGAUCAGGCUUUCGCCCAUUGUCCAAUAUUCCCCACUGCUGCCUC